AUUUUGGACAAUGGGCGAAAGCCUGAUCCAGCAAUGCCGCGUGAGUGAAGAAGGCCUUCGGGUUGUAAAGCUCUUUUGUCAGGGAAGAAACGGUGAGGGCUAAUAUCCCUUGCUAUUGCCGGUACCUGAAGAAUAGGCACCGGCAACCUACGUGCAACCAGCCGCGGUAAUACGUAGGGUGCAAGCGUUAAUCGGAAUUACUGGGCGUAAAGCGUGCGCAGGCGGUUUUGUAAGUCUGAUGUGAAAUCCCCGGGCUCAACCUGGGAAUUGCAUUGGAGACUGCAAGGCUAGAAUCUGGCAGAGGGGGGUAGAAUUCCACGUGUAGCAGUGAAAUGCGUAGAUAUGUGGAGGAACACCGAUGGCUAAGGCAGCCCCCUGGGUCAAGAUUGACGCUCAUGCACGAAAGCGUGGGGAGCAAACA
This 421-nucleotide ribosomal RNA is filed under the name uncultured bacterium. RNAcentral's name for it is "bacterial SSU rRNA". It matches the Rfam family "Bacterial small subunit ribosomal RNA", at positions 361 to 774 of the family's 1533-position model. The record is from RNAcentral.